Molecule: ribosomal RNA, 494 nt
Filed under: uncultured bacterium
Lineage: Bacteria
Description: partial 16S ribosomal RNA
Rfam family: Bacterial small subunit ribosomal RNA
Source: RNAcentral
GACGAACGCUGGCGGCGUGCCUAAUACAUGCAAGUCGAACGCUGAAGGAGGAGCUUGCUUCUCUGGAUGAGUUGCGAACGGGUGAGUAACGCGUAGGUAACCUGCCUGGUAGCGGGGGAUAACUAUUGGAAACGAUAGCUAAUACCGCAUAAGAUUGACUAUUGCAUGAUAGUCAGUUAAAAGGUGCAAUUGCAUCACUACCAGAUGGACCUGCGUUGUAUUAGCUAGUUGGUGGGGUAACGGCUCACCAAGGCGACGAUACAUAGCCGACCUGAGAGGGUGAGCGGCCACACUGGGACUGAGAAACGGCGCAGACUACUACGGGAGGCAGCAGUGGGGAAUUUUGGGCAAUGGGCGAAAGCCUGAUGGAGCAAUGCCGAGUGUGUGAAGAAGGCCUUCGGGUUGUAAAAGACUUGUGUCAGGGAAGAAAAGGCUGGUGCGAAUAUCGACAGCUGAUGACGGUACCUGAGGAAUAAGCACCGGCUAACUACGUG